UACGUAGGGGGCUAGCGUUGUCCGGAAUCAUUGGGCGUAAAGCGCGUGUAGGCGGUCCGGUAAGUCCGCUGUGAAAGUCGAGGGCUCAACCCUCGAAUGCCGGUGGAUACUGUCGGGCUUGAGUACGGGAGAGGCGAGUGGAAUUCCUGGUGUAGCGGUGGAAUGCGCAGAUAUCAGGAGGAACCCCGGUGGCGAAGGCGGAUCUCUGGGCCAUAACUGACGCUGAGGAGCGAAAGCAUGGGGAGCGAACAGG
Molecule: ribosomal RNA, 253 nt
Filed under: uncultured bacterium
Lineage: Bacteria
Description: partial 16S ribosomal RNA
Rfam family: Bacterial small subunit ribosomal RNA
Source: RNAcentral